GCAGAGGUAUCGAAGUGGUCAUAACGAGGCGGUCUUGAAAACCGUUUGGCGCAAGCCACAAGGGGUCGAAUCCCUUUCCCUCCGCCA
This 87-nucleotide transfer RNA is filed under the name Oribacterium sp. Its description in RNAcentral is "tRNA-Ser". It matches the Rfam family "tRNA". From Rfam's summary of the family: Transfer RNA (tRNA) molecules are approximately 80 nucleotides in length. Their secondary structure includes four short double-helical elements and three loops (D, anti-codon, and T loops). Further hydrogen bonds mediate the characteristic L-shaped molecular structure. tRNAs have two regions of fundamental functional importance: the anti-codon, which is responsible for specific mRNA codon recognition, and the 3' end, to which the tRNAs corresponding amino acid is attached (by aminoacyl-tRNA synthetases). tRNAs cope with the degeneracy of the genetic code in two manners: having more than one tRNA (with a specific anti-codon) for a particular amino acid; and 'wobble' base-pairing, i.e. permitting non-standard base-pairing at the 3rd anti-codon position. Lineage: Bacteria; Bacillati; Bacillota; Clostridia; Lachnospirales; Lachnospiraceae. The record is from RNAcentral.